RNAcentral lists this ribosomal RNA (299 nucleotides) under uncultured bacterium. RNAcentral describes it as "partial 16S ribosomal RNA". It matches the Rfam family "Bacterial small subunit ribosomal RNA", at positions 28 to 334 of the family's 1533-position model. The record is from RNAcentral.
GACGAACGCUGGCGGCGUGCCUAACACAUGCAAGUCGAACGGAGUACCUUCGGGUACUUAGUGGCGAACGGGUGAGUAACGCGUGAGAAACCUGCCUUUCAGUGGGGGACAACAGUUGGAAACGACUGCUAAUACCGCAUAAUGUCAUUUGGGGGCAUCCCUGAAUGACCAAAGAUUUAUUGCUGAAAGAUGGUCUCGCGUCUGAUUAGCUUGUUGGCGGGGUAACGGCCCACCAAGGCGACGAUCAGUAGCCGGUCUGAGAGGAUGAACGGCCACAUUGGGACUGAGAUACGGCCCAG